CUUCACCAGUGAACAUACACAGAGAGGAAAUAAGCACACAAAAAGUGUGCAAUGUCAUUAGGGAAAUGUAAAUUAAAAUCACAACAUGAUACCACUACCAAUUUACUGAAAUGGCUAAAAUUAGAAAGACUGGCCAUACCAAGUGUUGCCAAGGGUGUGGGGGAACUAGAGCUCUUAUACAUAUGCACUUUUGGUGGCAUUUAAUAUGGUAUAAACCACUUUAGAAAACAGUUGAGCAAUUCCUUAAAAAGUUAAACAUAUGAUCCUGGCAUUCCAUUCCUAGGUAUUUACCCAAGAGAAAUAAAAAGCUUAUGUCCACACAAAGACUUCCACAAAAAUAUUUGUAACAACUUUAUCUUUAGUAACCAAAACUAGAAACAAUCCAAAUGUCUAUCAACAGGUGAAUAGAUAAGCAGAUUGUGGUAUAUCCAUGCAGUGGGAUUUUACUGAGCAGUGAAAACGGAAUGAACUACUGAUACACACUACAACAUGGAUGAAUCUCAAAAUAAUUAUGUGGUCAAAGAAGCCAGGCCAAGUGCAUAUGGCAGGAUCCCACUUAGAUGACAUUGUAGAAAAUGUACACUAAAACCUAUAGUGACAGAAAAAGAUCAGUGGUUGCCUAGGGAGAGUGAGGAGUGUGACCAAAAGAUUACAAAGGAUAAGAAAAAAAUUUUCAGGGAAAUAUUAUGAUGUCACAAGUGGACGCAAGGUCAAAAAUGUCGAAUUUUCCACUUCAAAUAUGUGCAGUUUAUUAUAUACCAAUUAUCCCUUGAUGAAGCUGUUAAAAAAUAGCAAGUGAUAAUUGUGAUGUCAUGUAGGUAGAGAGGAAAGGUGGAGGGGGGGUUGUUGCUUCUCAGGCAGCUUCACAAAGGAGGGGAGAUUAUUUUUGUGACUAUUGGAAGUUUGAGGAUAUCGUCAAGAAAAUACCAAAAGAAGUUCACGGUAAGGGUAAGCUUAAAGGAGAUUGAAGUUCAUGAGAAAGAACAUCAAAAUAGCCCUGGCUGUAUAAUCUCCAUGGAUCUUCAUGAUAGAUUCAGAGGAAGUAGAUCUAGGAAGAGAGAAAAAGUGAAGACGUGUUUGAGAACAAAAGAGAGAAGGAAGAAGAAAGAGUUCUGCAAGCUUCUCAUGCUUCCUCUGACCCAGUUGCACUGCUGUCCUUAAGUUCUGCAAAUGGACUGCCAUUCUGGUUAUUUCCAACACUGCCAUUGGUGAUCAGAGCAACUUGCUUCCAUCUGCCUAAACAGGACUGGUGGGAGGAGCCCUCCUAUGUGGUGACUGCCUGAGUUGCCAGGACCCAGUCCCUGUUAGGGGCUCACCAGAGAGAGCUUUGCUGGCGUCUUUCCAAAGUUAUGCCAUUGAGUUUUGUGUAGGUGAAGUAUUACUUGCACUGUGUUGGCUCAGUGUCUGGCUGUAGGCAGAAUAUGCUUACCUCCAAUCCCAUUCAUAAAGAAUGUUUAUCUUUUUAUGCGUCUGUUUUCCGACCUCCCAAACACAAGGGCACAAAAAUCACAGAAGAGUAUUAUCUUUCAUUCAGCU
RNAcentral lists this long non-coding RNA (1536 nucleotides) under Capra hircus (goat). RNAcentral describes it as "lncRNA (ENSCHIG00000008070.1)". The record is from RNAcentral. Lineage: Eukaryota; Metazoa; Chordata; Mammalia; Artiodactyla; Bovidae.